GAGACACAAUUUUUUAGAGCCCAGACACAGUGAUUUGUUCUGGUUAAUGCAGAGAGGAUAUUUUUAAAGAACGAAGGAACAUCUAAACAAUUUCUUGCAACUAAAUCAUGCUCUUAUUUACACGAAGAAGUAUGACGGAGGGGGAAACAGAGGGAGAGACUUAAAUAGCAUGGCUGUUUCCACCAUCUUAGAUUGUAUUGAUUAUUCUUUGCUGUAAUGUCUGUCUCUCACACCCGCUAGCUCUCUUUCUCUCCCUUUCUGUCCCUCCCUCCCUCUUUUCUGCCUCUGUUCUGCCACCUUCUCUACUCUGCGAUCAGCAUUUGGCUUUUUCCAUUUGGGGCAGAUUACUGUAACGCUAUUGUACAACAACUUCCUGCCUCUUUUGGCUCUGGUUCUAAAAACUGCAAAGGGAGAGCUCGUGGCUUUAACUUUUUUCCCCUCGGCCUUGAACUACAGGAGCUCUAUAAGGAAAGAAAAGCAGGAAGGAGAUAUGUAAAGUGUAUCUGUUACUGAGGAACUAUUUUGGUUGCAUUUCUACUUAUAAACUGCUGAGAUUUAAAGAGGGGACUACAAGCCUAGCAGAGACAAUGACAGAAAAAAAAGGAUUCUGAAAGAAGAGGGAGAAAAGAGAGCCAGAGAGAAAAAGAGCAACCGAGAGCUUCUCCUGGGAGCAAGCUGGAAAUUAUGGACCUAUUCGAUAUCAGACCUCGGAGUGGACAACCUAUCCAAAGAGGGACGCGCCCUAACUGUAACUAACAACUACUUCUGGCAGCCCCUCAACAGCCAAAUAUAUUGUCCUGGAUCAGGGCAACUUUCAUAGCACAUGGUAGCACUGAAGUAAAGCAGCCCCGGAAAAACCACAUCAAACUGAAGCAUAAAUAACAUUUCAGACUAAAAAUGUUAGUGACAAUGUAGAAAAUUUACAGUGUAAGUAAAAUAGCAAAAACUAUGAGCUGUAAAACUUUAAACUGUGAAUGUCAAAUGAUUGUUUUCCAUACUUCGACCUAGUUUUGUGAUACCCUUGUGGGGAGACAGUGCAUGCAUUUUAUUUACUUUUUUUAAUUAUGGUAUGUCCAUUUAUUUAUUUUUUUCAAGUCUUUUGGUAAUACAGGACUGAAUGGUGCUGUUUUAUAACUGCAAAGAUCUGCAAACAAGCAUGAUUAUGUUAACAUAUGAAAUUAACUGGAAUAAAAUUUAAAAUGUAGCACUGUUGUCCAAAAUUGAGGACAUAAUUCCUUUUUAAAAACCUGAAAUAACUGCGUCAAUUUCAGCACACACUGGAUAUUAUUAUGAAAAUCAUUCUACUCUAAUAUAUAUAUAUAUAUAUUUUUUUUUUUUAUUUUCUGGAACAUAAACCUUGUCUUUAUAACCUGAACCACACUAAAUAUAGUGAUUGCUGUCAAACUGUGUUCAGUUAAAAGACAAUAAACUAUUCUCAGAAGUCAAUGACCUUUAAUAAUGAGAAGAAAAAAAUCUCCUUAUUGGUGACCUUGACUGUUUUGCACUGACUUCAAAAUACCUCCACCCCUUUUUUUGGAGUUUUUUUUUUCCCCUUCAAGGUUGCUAACAUCUACAGUAGUUUCACAAGCCCUGACCGUUUUGUUUAAUUCUGUCUUAACACUAUGCUGUGAGUGCACAGGCCUGGCAUUUUAGGGGCCACGUCACAACGCCUGUGUCUGCAUUGCAGGACUGCAACGAGUCCAACAGCCAAGCAAUAAGCACUCAACGCUUCACUGCCUCAGCAAACAAACUUUAUAUCUGUUUUGUUAUCGUAAACAUGGUCUCUAGCACCCAUACUUGACUGAGAACGACAAAAAUGUAUCUAAUACUUAAUUCAUUUCUAAAUUACAUCACAAAGACACGGUGCGAAUGAGCAUCUGAAUUACUUCACAGCACAAUCGAGCCUCUUCUUACCACAAUUUCUUCAGGUUUAGAUGAAAAAACAUGCAAUAAUUAUUCUAGAUAAACAAUGAAUUCCCAGUUCUGGAAUUCUGUUUAAUGAAUCUGAUAAAUGUUUCUUAUCUUAUGCAAAAAAAACCACCAUCGUUUUAACGGGGAAACAGUACUGAUAUUGAUUUAAAAGUGACAAGGAUAAAGACAUUGAUUAAAUAAGGGGUGAUGGACUGUAAUUGGUUUAAGUGAAGGAUAUUUAUCUAUGUGGGAGAAAAGCAGCGCUUAACAGGACAGCUGCAUAAACAGAGAUUUUAUUACUCAGUGAGCUGUUCCAGCAAAUUUAGUGAUUCUUUAAAUUCAAGUGAAAUAUCAUUUUCCGAAGGGGGGAAAUGUAUUUAAGAUGUUCAUCACUUAAAAAACACACACUUUAAUCAUCAUUUUGUCAUAUUUAUGCAUUGUGUUGCAAUGCACAGAGGCAACACCCAUAUAAAAACAGCAUAUAACUCCUUUUAUGUUUCUUAAAAGUGUAACAUUGUGUGAAAAUAUAAAGCUGCUAUAUUUUACUGGCUAUCAGAGGAGUAUAUGUGGACACUAGAGAGGUUAAAUUACAUGCACAUUUUACCAGGAGAUUUUUUUCUGUGAAAUAUCGCAGCUACACAGGUGGUCUGUGCUGUAUUCAUGGGUGUUGACAACUGGUUGGUGUUUCGUGCAAAGUGUAAUGUCUGUAUUAUAGUAGUUUUCUCCUAUACGAUACAAUAUUGUAAAUAUUGGAGUAAUUGGUAAAGCUGAAUACUGUUUUAAAUUUGUUUUGUUAAAUGUGCAAGAUGCCUGGUCACUUUCCGGCACAUAUAUAUACAUUUACAUACAAAUUAUUAUUCUAUGUUUAUUGUGAUUACAACUACUAUUAUUGUUUUUCAUGUUACUUUAAUGAUUUAGCUGUAACAAGCAGUGACUAUGACUAAAGAUAAAACAGUACAAACACUUAUUUACUGGUGCUAAAGUCGUUGUGUAUUUUCUGUGAUUAGAGGUAGAGCUGGGUGAUGUGGCCAAAAAAAAUCAUAAUUGUUACUGAUAAUUAUCAUGAAAACAAAAUAACAUUCACUAUCA
Molecule: long non-coding RNA, 3000 nt
Organism: Sphaeramia orbicularis (orbiculate cardinalfish)
Lineage: Eukaryota; Metazoa; Chordata; Actinopteri; Kurtiformes; Apogonidae
Exons: 2
Source: RefSeq, a predicted model, not a curated record